GACGAACGCUGGCGGCGUGCUUAACACAUGCAAGUCGAACGGAAAGGCCCUGCUUUUGUUGGGUUCUCGAGUGGCGAACGGGGGAGUAACACGUGAGUAACCUGCCCUUGUCUGUGGGAUAACUUCAGGAAACUGGGUCUAAUACCGGAUAGGAGCUCCUGCUGCAUGGUGGUGGUUGGAAAGUUUCGGCGGUUGGGGAUGGACUCGCGGCUUAUCAGCUUGUUGGUGGGGUAGUUGCUUACCAAGGCUUUGACGGGUAGCCGGCCUGAGAGGGUGACCGGCCACAUUGGGACUGAGAAACGGCCCAGACUCCUACGGGCGGCAGCAGUGGGGAAUAUUGCACACUGGGCGGAAGCCUGAUGCAGCAACGCCGCGUGCGAGAUGACGGCCUUCGGGUUGUAAACCGCUUUCGCCUGUGACGAAGCGUGAGUGACGGUAAUGGGUAAAGAAGCACCGGCUAACUACGUG
RNAcentral lists this ribosomal RNA (468 nucleotides) under uncultured bacterium. RNAcentral describes it as "partial 16S ribosomal RNA". It matches the Rfam family "Bacterial small subunit ribosomal RNA", at positions 28 to 507 of the family's 1533-position model. The record is from RNAcentral.